This 75-nucleotide transfer RNA is filed under the name Hyphomicrobium sp. RNAcentral's name for it is "tRNA-Gln". It matches the Rfam family "tRNA". From Rfam's summary of the family: Transfer RNA (tRNA) molecules are approximately 80 nucleotides in length. Lineage: Bacteria; Pseudomonadati; Pseudomonadota; Alphaproteobacteria; Hyphomicrobiales; Hyphomicrobiaceae. RNAcentral also lists the same sequence under 641 other names. The record is from RNAcentral.
UGGGGCGUAGCCAAGCGGUAAGGCAGCGGAUUUUGAUUCCGCCAUUCGGAGGUUCGAUCCCUCCCGCCCCAGCCA